AUCGGAGGAGCAGUGCCUGCCCAGCGCCCACCCAGGCUUCCCUUGUAGAACAAAGAAAAAAUUCUCACGUAGCUGGGCUCCCGUAUACGCGCGCCCGGCCGGCCUCCUCCACAGCCAGGGCAGGACUCGACCGCGCGGGGCCGGCCGGAACAAGAGACCUAUUUUGCAUCCAUGAUUAAUCUUUUCUGUGUUGAUUUAACUAUACAAUAAGCUCAAUAGAUGCUUUCCUGUCAAGUACCUGUAAAAAUAUAAAACGAUUUUUUUUCCAGAUAAAAAACACGGAGUACAAAUGAGCAUGGCUAUAUUUUAGGCGUCUGAUUUUUAAGGAAAAAACUUCAAAAUAGUCGCCGCAUCAGAACGUGUUGUCCUUGGUUAAGAUUCGAUGAUCAAACACGUCCACUGAUCUCUGACUAAACUAAAAAAAAGAUGACUUCUUAAUAGCAAAACCGAAAGUACUCUUCAUAAUUUUAUGGAACAAAUAUAGACCUAAAAUUAUUCUAGUUUCAGGUUGCUUCGAGUUGAAGAUGUACGCAAAAUCCUCAAAGCACUAGAGCCUUAGGGAAUAUCUACACUAGUAAGUUCUUUUCCUUUCUUCUGGACAUGCUUAGCAGUGUAGAUACUCCCUAAGGCUUCGGUCGUAUUGGAUUGUUGUGGACAUUUGAGAAUCGUUGCAUGCAAAAGUGCUAAGCAUGCCCAACCUCCCCAGUGCCUGACACCUCCACCGCUCGUGGCUGCCUCGCGAUUCGGACACAGCUGCCAUUUUCCCCCAGGAGAGCAGCAGGCCAGGGCAACGGGCCUCGGAAUGCUGAGGUCCAGUCGCCGACGGCCACGAGGUUCCUGUGGGCGCGGAGGGAUGCCUUCCUAGCCGCCCGCCGUCAUCUUCUUCCGGCAGGUGAACAGCGGCGGCACCACGUCAAUCGGCUCAGCAAAACAGGUUCUUCCCGCUGAGCUCGGAGUCAGGGGCCUGGUUCGGCCAUUGCUACAUACCCAGGCACUGCCUCGUGCUCCUGAUUGGCAACGGCCAGUGCCCCAUAGUCAAUAGUGGAAUCCCUUGAAUGUUGGUCAGUAAGCUGCUGCAGAUUUCUUGCAAAAAAAAAAAA
This 1100-nucleotide precursor RNA is filed under the name Brachypodium distachyon (stiff brome). RNAcentral's name for it is "precursor microRNA 5200a.5". The stretch from base 546 to 637 matches the Rfam family "MIR5200 microRNA precursor family". The record is from RNAcentral. Lineage: Eukaryota; Viridiplantae; Streptophyta; Magnoliopsida; Poales; Poaceae.